AUAGCGUAUAUUAAAGUUGUUGCAGUUAAAAAGCUCGUAGUUGAACUUCAGCCUCUUGGCCGGGCGGUCUGCCUCACGGUAUGUACUGUCUGGCUGGGGCUUACCUUCUGGUGAGCUUGCAUGCCGUUUAUUCGGUGUGUGAGGGAACCAGGACUUUUACCUUGAGAAAAUUAGAGUGUUCAAAGCAGGCAAAUGCCCGAAUACAUUAGCAUGGCAUAAUAAAAUAGGACGUGUGGUUCUAUUUUGUUGGUUUCUAGAGUCGCCGUAAUGAUUAAUAGGGAUAGUUGGGGGCAUUUGUAUUCCGUUGCUAGAGGUGAAAUUCUUGGAUUUACGGAAGACAAACUUCUG
Molecule: ribosomal RNA, 348 nt
Filed under: Sistotrema resinicystidium
Lineage: Eukaryota; Fungi; Basidiomycota; Agaricomycetes; Cantharellales; Hydnaceae
Description: SSU rRNA
Rfam family: Eukaryotic small subunit ribosomal RNA
Source: RNAcentral